Molecule: ribosomal RNA, 1401 nt
Filed under: Salmonella enterica subsp. enterica serovar Bredeney
Lineage: Bacteria; Pseudomonadati; Pseudomonadota; Gammaproteobacteria; Enterobacterales; Enterobacteriaceae
Description: bacterial SSU rRNA
Rfam family: Bacterial small subunit ribosomal RNA
Source: RNAcentral
GAGGGGGAUAACUACUGGAAACGGUGGCUAAUACCGCAUAACGUCGCAAGACCAAAGAGGGGGACCUUCGGGCCUCUUGCCAUCAGAUGUGCCCAGAUGGGAUUAGCUUGUUGGUGAGGUAACGGCUCACCAAGGCGACGAUCCCUAGCUGGUCUGAGAGGAUGACCAGCCACACUGGAACUGAGACACGGUCCAGACUCCUACGGGAGGCAGCAGUGGGGAAUAUUGCACAAUGGGCGCAAGCCUGAUGCAGCCAUGCCGCGUGUAUGAAGAAGGCCUUCGGGUUGUAAAGUACUUUCAGCGGGGAGGAAGGUGUUGUGGUUAAUAACCGCAGCAAUUGACGUUACCCGCAGAAGAAGCACCGGCUAACUCCGUGCCAGCAGCCGCGGUAAUACGGAGGGUGCAAGCGUUAAUCGGAAUUACUGGGCGUAAAGCGCACGCAGGCGGUCUGUCAAGUCGGAUGUGAAAUCCCCGGGCUCAACCUGGGAACUGCAUUCGAAACUGGCAGGCUUGAGUCUUGUAGAGGGGGGUAGAAUUCCAGGUGUAGCGGUGAAAUGCGUAGAGAUCUGGAGGAAUACCGGUGGCGAAGGCGGCCCCCUGGACAAAGACUGACGCUCAGGUGCGAAAGCGUGGGGAGCAAACAGGAUUAGAUACCCUGGUAGUCCACGCCGUAAACGAUGUCUACUUGGAGGUUGUGCCCUUGAGGCGUGGCUUCCGGAGCUAACGCGUUAAGUAGACCGCCUGGGGAGUACGGCCGCAAGGUUAAAACUCAAAUGAAUUGACGGGGGCCCGCACAAGCGGUGGAGCAUGUGGUUUAAUUCGAUGCAACGCGAAGAACCUUACCUGGUCUUGACAUCCACGGAAGUUUUCAGAGAUGAGAAUGUGCCUUCGGGAACCGUGAGACAGGUGCUGCAUGGCUGUCGUCAGCUCGUGUUGUGAAAUGUUGGGUUAAGUCCCGCAACGAGCGCAACCCUUAUCCUUUGUUGCCAGCGGUCCGGCCGGGAACUCAAAGGAGACUGCCAGUGAUAAACUGGAGGAAGGUGGGGAUGACGUCAAGUCAUCAUGGCCCUUACGACCAGGGCUACACACGUGCUACAAUGGCGCAUACAAAGAGAAGCGACCUCGCGAGAGCAAGCGGACCUCAUAAAGUGCGUCGUAGUCCGGAUUGGAGUCUGCAACUCGACUCCAUGAAGUCGGAAUCGCUAGUAAUCGUGGAUCAGAAUGCCACGGUGAAUACGUUCCCGGGCCUUGUACACACCGCCCGUCACACCAUGGGAGUGGGUUGCAAAAGAAGUAGGUAGCUUAACCUUCGGGAGGGCGCUUACCACUUUGUGAUUCAUGACUGGGGUGAAGUCGUAACAAGGUAACCGUAGGGGAACCUGCGGUUGGAUCACCUCCUUA